ACGAACGCUGGCGGCGUGCUUAACACAUGCAAGUCGAACGGGCCUUGUCCCCUUUUUUUUGGGGGUGGGGUUAGUGGCGAACGGGUGAGUAACACGUGAGUAACCUGCCCCUCACUUCUGGAUAACCGCUUGAAAGGGUGGCUAAUACGGGGUGUUCUGGCCUGCUCGCAUGGGUGGGUUUGGAAAGAUUCGACCGGUUUUGGUUGUUUUGGUGGGGGAUGGGCUCGCGGCCUAUCAGCUUGUUGGUGGGGUGAUGGCCUGCCAAGGCUUUGACGGGUAGCCGGCCUGAGAGGGUGGGCGGUCACACUGGGACUGAGACACGGCCCAGACUCCUACGGGAGGCAGCAGUGGGGAAUAUUGCACAAUGGGCGCAAGCCUGAUGCAGCGACGCCGCGUGAGGGAUGGAGGCCUUCGGGUUGUGAACCUCUUUCGCCAGUGAAGAAGGUCCUGCUCUUUGUGGUGGGGUUGACGGUAGCUGGGUUAAUGAAGCGCCGGCUAACUACGUG
Molecule: ribosomal RNA, 506 nt
Filed under: uncultured bacterium
Lineage: Bacteria
Description: partial 16S ribosomal RNA
Rfam family: Bacterial small subunit ribosomal RNA
Source: RNAcentral